CUUCAUGUGUAUUAGUCCUUGCCGCAUGUGUGCUUUAUUGUGCAAAAUUGUUCCCUUUUGGAUAGAUGAAAGUGCAGAUUCCACCAAAGUAAAAUUUAGUAGGCUUUAUGUUAUCAAUUUAUUUUUGUUACAUGUUGCUAAAAGUAAAUGAAACGAAUUUCUUUCUGUUUUGGUUCAGAAAUAUUUGAUUUUUGGAGGAGAAAGGUCAUACAAGGAUGAGAAUGGGACACCAUAUUAUAGCGACGUGGUGAUUUUAUUCAGUUUAGUCAGAGGACAUACAUACGUACAAGUAGUUCCCUAAGGCGAAGGCCUUCCAUUUGCUAUUGCUGGCCAUGUAAAAUAGCAUGAACCUGAACCUAAACUGCGAUUGGAUGUCUAAACUGAAUUGUUGCAUUCCUAGACAUGGGAAUGUGGAUCAGUUUUAGUUCUGAAGAAUCUGCAUACUUCUGGUCCUAUGUAAUUCCAAUUUAUUUAGACAAGCAUGCCAAAAGUGUUGAAACCCAAGUUAGGGUUCAAAUUUGUGGGGUUGUGCUUGCUGCUAAACUGAUCCUGGACUUUCUGUUGGCUAUAUUAUAAUUAGCAAAUGGAAGUGGAGAGAUAAAGCAUAAAUACUUGAUAAACUUUUUUUGUUGGGGCGGGGGAUGGUUUAGUCCAUAGUUAAAAAAGGCGCGCCUAAGCGAGCGCUUAAGCGCGCCUAGGCUCUAGGCGUUGACAAAACGCAUUGCACAUAACUACGCUUAAUCUGUGCAUAACUACGCAUAGGUUACAAAACGCACAAUUAACGCCUAGCACUUUUUUGAACUAUGGUUUAGGCACUUCAUGCAUUGUUGGUGUUGCAGACUUUUGCACUGCUACUAAAUGUCCUAUAUGUUAUUCUUUAGUAGGGAUGUUGGCAUAGAGAUAUCGCAAUAAUAAAAACGAGAAUCCUCAUUACUCACAUAUAUAUUACUAUGUCCUUUUGUUUCCAUUGAGACCUAUUUUGUUUAUUCUUUUAGUUCCAAGGCAAAAUUCUCUGAUUUUUAGUAAUUCACAUUUAACAAGACAUGUGAAUGGAGGAUGGGAGGCAUUUAGAUGCAAGUCAGAAACUUCUUCUGCUAGCUUAUUUUAAGUUUAUUAUUUCCUUGCUCCCCUUUUCAUUGUAGAGAAUGAAAAGCAUCUUUCACGCUGCCAACGGGAUCUGGACCAAUAAGAGGAUCAGGAGGACGAAUACAGUGGACACUACUACUCAGCAAGAUACAGUUCAAACCCUGUAUCCUCCUGAUUGAUCUCCCUUCGCCCCUGUUUAAGAAUCAUGUUUCACCCAUUCAGGUAAAUCUAGCUGAAACAUUUUACGAACUCUACAAGUUGAAAGUUCAUACUUUUAGACGAGUAUACCAUUUUGGAGGUGUGUGUGUCAGUUCGCCGAUUAUUGACACCUCAUUCUAUGUAUUUUAGUGUUGUCUUCAGAAUUAUAGACACCUCAUUCUAUAAGGAGGCCGCCACCAAGAAGAGCGAGGUUGUGUCAAUGGACUCAGGUGCGUGCACUCGUUGGUGGUUUCAGUCUCAUAAUUUUUUCUUUCCAGUUGAAGAACGGGCGGUGGAUAUCUGUUACUCCAUUCUGUCUUUCCUGGUCUGUACAUUUUGAGAAGAUUGCAUACAUUGUAUUGAUGUGUCUUUUGUGUGAAACUUUGACUUAUUGGUCAACAAUAUAUGAGUUAUACGUCAUCAAAAAUAUAUCAUUGGGAAGUUCAUUGAAAUAUGCAUCCAAUGGCAUACUCUUUGUGGCGUAUAACUCACAUGUUGUUGGUAAAAUCAAUGCUCAAAGUUAUUUUCGGUCACAAAACAUUGAUAAAACUAUAAAUCACAUUUUAAUUCUUGUUGCGAUUACACCUAUUAGUUGCAGUUCAUAAGCUGUGUUGAGUUGACUGCUGAUUUCUUUUCUUCUAUUAUUUUCCUUUAUGAACCUGGUGGCCAGCGACAAGUUGUAGAAAGAAACAAGGCUUAUGUUAGGCAAAGUUGAUUAGGUUGUACUACACACCGAGUGCCUCCAUAAGAAUCUAGAUAAAAUGCCAUAAAAGGUGAGAUUGGGCAUAGUCUUGAUAUAGUUUCGUUAAAAGAUAUUCCAUUGAUUUUUUGGGUUUGGACAUACUUAUGAUUGUUUUCUUCUAACUGCAUCUUAAUAUAUGCUUUUGUAGACUGUUCUAGAUAAGAUGAUGGCUAUCAAUGUGAGCGACUGAGCUUUUAUGUCCAGAAAAUGCUCACUAAUAAAAUCUGGAAUGUCUUAUGUUUCUCAUCUUUUUUCUUCAUUUGUAUGGUUAAAGUUUGGCUUCAAACCAACAAAUAGUUAAUAUUAAAUUAAGCUAUUUUCCCGCUCCCCUCUUCAGUUGGCAAACCCAUCAAGGAAUUGUUGUAAUGAAUAUAUUUUAUAUGGUUACAUCCACAACAGGAAGAGGUCUUAAAUGCUAUAGCAUACGUCUAUAUUAAUGUAUAUGAGUGAGAGCGAGGACCGAGUAUGGGAAUUUAAUGUGCGAAGACAAGAUGAGUGCGGACAUGCCCGCCUCAGGAGGCACCACCAGGUGGCGCCCUAGCCUUUAGUACAUAUACACAUACACUCACCUUUAUGAAUGUACACAUGCACAUCCUACCCCUAUGAGCACCUUUGAGAGACUGGGACGGCAUAUCAUCUUUAGUUUUACGAAGUCACCGUAGGCGCCUCAUCAUUGACGGGAUAGUCUUCUCCCACUGAAAAUGCAUCGUCAGAAAUCCUGAAAUAAAUUCAGGAAUAAUGCGAGCAUCAGGACUUGAACCCUGGUGGACUGGGGAGCACCAGGAAUAGCGUCGCGCCGUUGCUUUGCAGCGCCGACCCCAAAUCCAACUAAGGGCAUCUCCAACACUCUCCCCGUAAAUUUGCUCCGACAUCCGUCCACUGACAAGGAGGGACCAGGCCACGAACGCUGAUGCUCAAGGCGGCUAUCCAACGUUGCCUGUAUACAUUUCCAUCACUGUUUGAACUAACAUGACGAAAUUCAUGCAAACACGGUGGAUUUCAUAUAAAUCGGACGGUAUUCAUUACAUUUUGAACAUUUUUCAUAUAAACGGGAUGAAUUCAUUACAUUUUUCAUAUAAACCAUAGUAAACCCUACUCUAAACCUAAACUAAAUGAUUGUCGGCGCAUGUUCCCCAUGUCCGGCCAUGAGCCCCGAGAAUUGAAGCUUCGCCUUCUUCAAUUUCAUCUCGACGCUCUCCAGCUUCGCCUCCGGAGACCCUGGAAGUGAAACUGUCCACCUUCACGUCGCCAACAAGUAGCUAAUCGACCGACGAUGUUCAGCCCAGAAGCUUGCCUCCAAUGGGAGGGGAGGAGCAGUGGCCUUCUUGGUACCCAAGCGGUCGUGUCCUACCAUGCACUACUCUUCCUCGCUACCGGCGGCGCCGGUGAACAUUUCGGCUUCGUGGCUGUGGUGGCGGGGCGCGGCCGGGGCGGAGCUGGUGAUAUCCUCCUUCUCGUUGCUCUUGCCCUACACCUCAUAUGCCGCCUCGUCGGACUCCUUGUAGGCGGCUUCUAACUCUGCCUGGUGUUGGCGGAACCACCAACGGUCGCCGCCGAUCUCGCGGGCGGAGUGGUAGGACUCAAGCAACACCUCUUACUCAGGCACCUCCAUGUACAACAUGAUGGAUGUGCUGGCGACGAGCAACUCCUCCGCCUCAUGGUGCUCCUCGAGGAGGCGGAGGUUGUAGGCCUUGUCGACCAGCGCCUGCCGGAACUUGGCCUCCUCCUCUCGCGGCAUGUCUGUGUAGUGCACACGGGCCUCACCAUCGAUGAGGCCCGCACGCACCAGCGAGGAGGGUGGCGCUGCCUCAUCCUCCAUUGGGGCGUCAUCGGCCGCUGUUUGUUGGCUGGCCUGCUAGCCUGCAGUAAUUAGCCCUGUGCGUUCGGUUUAUUCGGUUUACAUGAUUCGGUUUAUACGGUUUUUCGGUAUGUACGAUAUUAAUACUUCGGUAAAUACGGUAUGAAAUUAAAAUACGGUUCGGUUUCGGUAUAUACCAAAUUAUUUCGGUAUGGUUUCGGUAUAUACCAUAAAAACCAAAGUUGACGCGAAUUUGAAAAUGACGUAAUAAUAAUUUGCAAAUUUAUGACUCAAAACACAUUCUAUUUUACACAAAUAGUAUAUGACUAUAUAUAUAAGUAUAUAUGCAUGCAUUGAUUCAUCUGUUGAUGGUUAUGGACGUGCUUAGCAUUUUAAAAAGAGAAAAAUGACAAUGUUACAAGAAAAAUGUAGGUGCUUAGUAGUGAAUUUGACUCAUGUACAAGAAAAAUGACAACUUGUACGGUUGUUCAUCUCAAGAAAUAUAAAUUUAUCUUUUACUUCGGUUUAUUCGGUUAACCAUUCGGUUUUUUGGUAUAUACCAUAAAAACCAAAGUUCAAAUCGGUAUGAAAAGUUCAUACCAUACCGAAACCAGAAACCAUAAAAACAAAAAAAUCGGUUCGGUUCGGUUUAUUUUCGGUAUGGUUUUUCGGUUCGGUUUUAAAAUGCACAGAGUGAGCAGUAAUGGCGGCCAUCUCCUUCUGCUCCGAGGAGAGGGUGACCCCAAGGACUUUGGAGUGCGAGGAGGCCAUGGCGUGCUGCAGAGAGGAGAAAGGGAUCGGAGAAGGAUGGUUGCGGCUAUUGUCGAGGUAAUGAACCUGAUAAUGAGUACUAGGAGUACGAACUAAGGGCGGAACCUACCUACGGCGCAAGUGUCUCACUCAGAUUUAGCCAGUCCGGGCCCCUCUCGGAGAAAUAACAGCCCUACGUCUCGUGCUCGGAGGCUUGUGUUUUCUCUUGGGGUGUAUGACUACAAUGGGUGUUGAACCCUUACCAUGGAGUUGAGGGGAGGCUUAUAUAGAGUGCGCCUCAACCCAUUAAUGUCAUGUUACAAGGGGUUAAAUGAGCAUAACUACAACAGUUACCGGUAACGACAACUAUAACUAUACUUGAAAUCUGGGAUUAAGGCACCUGACCUUAGCGGUUCCCACGUCGCCUCCACGCCUCCGAGUGAUGCUGGCGAGGCCGACUGGUGGGAAGACGUUCGAGUGCUGAUGGAAUAUCUGAGUGGAUUUCUAGGGAUGCGCAUCCGAAUGCGCUUGUGGUCCAAGGACCUUCCAAUGAUGGUGUGAGACCCUAGGUGGGCCUUAGAUGUCAGGUCCUUGACCCUACCAGUAGUAGGUGACCCCAUCAUUAGCCCCCGAAUCGGCUGAGGUUUGGUAGGACGAAUGGGUUGAAUCAUUGGCUUGGUCUGAGUGCUUCGGGAGCACCCGGGAUCCGUUGCCAAGUGGUUACCUAUCGUGACCUGGGCGAAACCACUGCGGAUUCUGGACUAAAGGUUUUUCCGAGUGAUCGGAUCAUGUUUGAUUGCUGGGCAAAACUUGGUGGCAUUCGUGUGUCUCUCGGGAGGGAUGGACUAGGGGUCCGAAUGAGGACGGGCCAUGAAACCUGGGUGACGACGCUGGCGCGUGGUCUGAUUCUCCGGAGAGAUGUCACUCAUUAUCCCAGGGGAACGCCAGCGUGGGCGAUCUUCGAGUCCAAGUUUAUGAGGCUUGCUUGAUGAGGACAUGGAGGCCAUAGUUACACCCAUAGCCCCUACUAUUGUACCUAUUGGAUCAAUUAGUAUAGAUUGCGCACGGUGGUUAUAUUAUCAGGUACUUUUGUUUCUUGAUAAUGUUUCUGAAGUUCAUGAGAAUAUGAUGCUGCCUAACUUCGAUACAUUUUUGUUGCUUAUAGUUGAAGGGCCUAGCUUGGACAAGAAGGAACAACAUUGGAGCAUUAUCAAGCAUGAAGAUGAAGGCGCGCGCGAAGAGAACAAGAACAUAGUUUGUAGUGGAGAUUUCCGCACUUUGAAGCCACCAUGAUGUCAUAUAAGAAGAUGGAUGAAAUAUACAACAUGGCAUUUUAUAAGUUUCGCCCAUAGCUUAUUAUUGGUGUUGCGCCACCUUAUUUUCUGGGCCAUGUCCAUGUAAUUUUCAAAUACUACUUCAUAGGCUGUUUUUAGAGUCCAUAUUAUAGGGGAAACGAAUCAGGAGGUAUUUUAGUCCCACCUUGCCAAGUGUGGACGAAAUCCCAUCUCUUUUCCCCUAUAAAUAUAGCCCUUAAGGCAUCGUUUAGACUUGGGAUUUUAUUUAGUUAAAAGUUAUCCAUCGCUGCAACUUCGUGUACUUCGUUUGUGUCCAACGACCAGACCAAGACCGCUUAUGAAACCCUACUUUUAUCAAUAUUUCAUGCAUAUUCGCAAUAUUCAGCUUGCAUUAAUUAACGUGGUUGUAGCAUUUUUUUCACACAUAUAAAUCCAACCUAGUG
Molecule: long non-coding RNA, 6312 nt
Filed under: Triticum aestivum (bread wheat)
Lineage: Eukaryota; Viridiplantae; Streptophyta; Magnoliopsida; Poales; Poaceae
Description: long non-coding RNA (TAES_LNC010147)
Source: RNAcentral